Dendronephthya gigantea is the source of this 265-nucleotide long non-coding RNA. RefSeq lists it as uncharacterized. NCBI's taxonomy places the organism in Eukaryota, Metazoa, Cnidaria, Anthozoa, Malacalcyonacea, Nephtheidae. The record is from RefSeq and is a predicted model, not a curated record. The transcript has 3 exons.
CCUGUACAUUGGGAAGCAAUUGCUCCUAUUUUACUCCAACGAGACGAUCAGGAGAGAUUUGCUACGUUUGCCUAAAAAGUGUCUUGACAAAAGUGAAGUGCGACAGAGGAAACUAUCAAUGCUUAAUUGCGACCACAUAAUUGAAAUACGAAGUCAAACUUCGUCAUCGUAGAAAGCAAAGCAAAGCUGCUUUCUUCGUGGUUCCUACAAAGCUCUCAGGUUGAAUAUGUUCUUCGACAACCAACAGAGCUUUUCAAGAAUGAAG